AUCUUUUUCCAUCCUCUUAGAUUGAAAUGAUUGGUUGCAUAAGAAUAAAGUUUCACUUAUAAUGACUUGAUUGUAUAAAAAGAGCUUCUAGAAUGUUCAUAAAGAUAUUGUGUAAGAGCCCGUUUUAAAGUUACUUUUAACUUUGCCAAACAUUCCCCAAAAGCUAAAUGACUUAAAAGUAGGUUAAACCAACUUUUAAGCCAAUCUAAACAGGCUCUAAGUAUCUCCACGAAGUUAUCAAAGA
This 244-nucleotide unclassified non-coding RNA is filed under the name Hevea brasiliensis (rubber tree). The record is from RNAcentral. Lineage: Eukaryota; Viridiplantae; Streptophyta; Magnoliopsida; Malpighiales; Euphorbiaceae.